UGCGAACUCCUACGGGAGGCAGCAGUGGGGAAUCUUGCGCAAUGGGCGAAAGCCUGACGCAGCCAUGCCGCGUGAAUGAUGAAGGUCUUCGGAUUGUAAAAUUCUUUCACCGGGGACGAUAAUGACGGUACCCGGAGAAGAAGCCCCGGCUAACUUCGUGCCAGCAGCCGCGGUAAUACGAAGGGGGCUAGCGUUGCUCGGAAUUACUGGGCGUAAGGGGAGCGUAGGCGGACAUUUAAGUCAGGGGUGAGAUCCCGGGGCUCAACCUCGGAAUUGCCUCUGAUACUGGGUGUCUUGAGUAUGAGAGAGGUAUGUGGAACUCCGAAUGUAGAGGUGAAAUUCGUAGAUAUUCGGAAGAACACCAGUGGCGAAGGCGACAUACUGGCUCAUUACUGACGCUGAGGCUCGAAAGCGUGGGGAGCAAACAGGAUUAGAAACCCUAGUAGUCCAGAUG
This 454-nucleotide ribosomal RNA is filed under the name uncultured bacterium. RNAcentral's name for it is "bacterial SSU rRNA". It matches the Rfam family "Bacterial small subunit ribosomal RNA", at positions 330 to 801 of the family's 1533-position model. The record is from RNAcentral.